Molecule: long non-coding RNA, 386 nt
Filed under: Homo sapiens (human)
Lineage: Eukaryota; Metazoa; Chordata; Mammalia; Primates; Hominidae
Description: non-protein coding lnc-TMEM18-6:6
Source: RNAcentral
AGUUUCUGGUCUGGGCUGACCUACAACAGUACGUUUUGCCCACUGCCUUUCAGUCGUGAUCAAUUUUCUCCAGUUACUGGUGCGUUGAUUUUCCAUAUCUUUUGUAACAAAUGACCAGACAUUGGGCAGCUUGAACAUCUCAAAUGUAUUUUCUCACAGCUCUGGAGGCCAGAAGUCCGACGUCCUCCUCACUGGGAUGAAGUCGGGGUGUAGGCAGGGCCGCGCCCGCUCGCCGGGCUCUAAGGGAAGAUCCUGGCUGCCUCUCCAGCUCUCCUGGCUGGGCCCCGCCCCCUCGCCAGGCUCUGAGGGAAGAUCCUGGCUGCCACUCCAGCCCUCCUGGCUGGGCCACGCCCCCUCGCUGGGCUCUAACGGAAGAUCCUCGCUGC